Neisseria wadsworthii 9715 is the source of this 364-nucleotide non-coding RNA. Lineage: Bacteria; Pseudomonadati; Pseudomonadota; Betaproteobacteria; Neisseriales; Neisseriaceae. The record is from Rfam.
GGGGGCGAUCUUGGUUUCGACGGGGGUUGCGAAGCAGAUGCGGGCAUACCGGGGUCUCAGAUUCCCGUAAAACACUGAACGAAAAUAGUCGCAAACGACGAAACUUACGCAUUGGCCGCUUAAUAGGCCUGCCGUUGCAACAGUUGGUCAAUGGGCUGUGUAGCGCAAGCUACCGCAACGUCAUUUUACAUUGACUGGUUUUCUGUCGGGUUACUUGGCAGAAAAUAAGAUUUAAGGUAACUGGCUCCCAAACAGCCUGUCUGUCGGCGGAAUGGGAGCAAGAUUCCAAGUAGGCAAGACUAAGUAUGUAGAACGCUUUGUAGAGGACUUUCGGACGGGGGUUCAAUUCCCCCCGCCUCCACCA